This 611-nucleotide long non-coding RNA is filed under the name Phasianus colchicus (ring-necked pheasant). RNAcentral describes it as "lncRNA (ENSPCLG00000017758.1)". Lineage: Eukaryota; Metazoa; Chordata; Aves; Galliformes; Phasianidae. The record is from RNAcentral.
GCUACUUGGCUCUCUAUUAGUUCUCCUACAUCAGCUCUCUUAGUGACCCUUCUGUUAGCUGCAUCAUCAGCGCAGUUACCGAACAAUAAGGCCUUGGAAAGUACCCUGCUUCCCAAGACACCACUGAUUCAGUUGUGGUUCUCUCUGCUUUGCUCCCUUUUCUCAGGAGCAAGAAUCAGCUUCUUCUGCCUUUUCAAGUUUCAGAGUCUCACUGCUAAUUACAGCACUCAGUGAUUUGCACUCUCUGGACUACUGUUAUGUCUUUUAAGGAGGACUAGUAUUGCAAGACAACUAAAAAAAUGCCAAGGCAGAAGAAGAGGAUGUGCACAACUACCUAAACUGAUAGAGUACUGUCCAAAUGGAAAAGAUCCAUCACAGCAACAAGUCUUUGCACUUGGACAAGGCUCAGACAGGCAACUAUGAUUUCCGUACGGAUCAGACUCCUCCUUUCCCAGCUUCUGAGCUUGGACAAAAGAAUGUGCUUGCUCUAGCUGAUGGUGCCUGCAGGCUCCAGUUUGCAAAUUUCAGACUGAGACUUCAGAGAUCAGCUACCCACCAGCAUAAUUAUUAUGCUGAAAUGCAGCUUUACCCUAUGUUUUUCCACCUUAGCA